This 465-nucleotide ribosomal RNA is filed under the name Vreelandella stevensii. RNAcentral describes it as "partial 16S ribosomal RNA". It matches the Rfam family "Bacterial small subunit ribosomal RNA", at positions 338 to 795 of the family's 1533-position model. The record is from RNAcentral. Lineage: Bacteria; Pseudomonadati; Pseudomonadota; Gammaproteobacteria; Oceanospirillales; Halomonadaceae.
CCUACGGGUGGCAGCAGUGGGGAAUAUUGGACAAUGGGCGAAAGCCUGAUCCAGCCAUGCCGCGUGUGUGAAGAAGGCCUUCGGGUUGUAAAGCACUUUCAGUGGGGAAGAAAGCCUUGGGGCUAAUACCCUCGAGGAAGGACAUCACCCACAGAAGAAGCACCGGCUAACUCCGUGCCAGCAGCCGCGGUAAUACGGAGGGUGCGAGCGUUAAUCGGAAUUACUGGGCGUAAAGCGCGCGUAGGCGGUCUGAUAAGCCGGUUGGGAAAGCCCCGGGCUCAACCUGGGAACGGCAUCCGGAACUGUCAGGCUAGAGUGCAGGAGAGGAAGGUAGAAUUCCCGGUGUAGCGGUGAAAUGCGUAGAGAGCGGGAGGAAUACCAGUGGCGAAGGCGGCCUUCUGGACUGACACUGACGCUGAGGUGCGAAAGCGUGGGUAGCAAACAGGAUUAGAUACCCUAGUAGUC